GCCAGGUGUGGUGGCAAGCACCUGUAGUCCCAACUACUUGGGAGGCUGAGGCAGGAGUAUUGCUUGAAUCCAGGAGUUCUGAGCUGUACUGUGCUAUGCUUAUCAGGCAUCCACACUAAGUUCAGCAUCAAUAUAGUGACCUCCUGGGAACAGGGAACCACCAGGUAACCUAAGGAGGGCUGAACUGGCCCCUGUCAGAAAUGGAGAAAGUGAAACCCCCAUGCCACUGAAUAGCCACUGCACUCCAGUGUGGGCAGCACAGUGAGACCUCAUCUCUA
Molecule: unclassified non-coding RNA, 278 nt
Organism: Callithrix jacchus (white-tufted-ear marmoset)
Lineage: Eukaryota; Metazoa; Chordata; Mammalia; Primates; Cebidae
Rfam family: Metazoan signal recognition particle RNA
About the family: The signal recognition particle (SRP) is a universally conserved ribonucleoprotein. It is involved in the co-translational targeting of proteins to membranes. The eukaryotic SRP consists of a 300-nucleotide 7S RNA and six proteins: SRPs 72, 68, 54, 19, 14, and 9.
Source: Ensembl